Molecule: ribosomal RNA, 427 nt
Filed under: uncultured bacterium
Lineage: Bacteria
Description: bacterial SSU rRNA
Rfam family: Bacterial small subunit ribosomal RNA
Source: RNAcentral
UGAGGAAUAUUGGACAAUGGGCGCAAGCCUGAUCCAGCAAUGCCGCGUGCAGGAUGAAGGCCUUCGGGUUGUAAACUGCUUUUGUACGGAGCGAAAAGGUCUGCCCUAAUACGGUGGGCUCAUGACGGUACCGUAAGAAUAAGCACCGGCUAACUACGUGCCAGCAGCCGCGGUAAUACGUAGGGUGCGAGCGUUAAUCGGAAUUACUGGGCGUAAAGCGUGCGCAGGCGGUUAUAUAAGACAGAUGUGAAAUCCCCGGGCUCAACCUGGGACCUGCAUUUGUGACUGUAUAGCUAGAGUACGGUAGAGGGGGAUGGAAUUCCGCGUGUAGCAGUGAAAUGCGUAGAUAUGCGGAGGAACACCGAUGGCGAAGGCAAUCCCCCGGACCUGUACUGACGCUCAUGCACGAAAGCGUGGGGAGCAAACA